This 346-nucleotide RNase P RNA is filed under the name Clostridiales bacterium. Its description in RNAcentral is "RNase P RNA component class A". It matches the Rfam family "Bacterial RNase P class A". Rfam says of the family: Ribonuclease P (RNase P) is a ubiquitous endoribonuclease, found in archaea, bacteria and eukarya as well as chloroplasts and mitochondria. Its best characterised activity is the generation of mature 5'-ends of tRNAs by cleaving the 5'-leader elements of precursor-tRNAs. The record is from RNAcentral. Lineage: Bacteria; Bacillati; Bacillota; Clostridia; Eubacteriales.
UAAGGCGGCCAGACGAUCGCGUGGCGAACGCCAUGAGGAAAGUCCGAGCAUCGCAGGGCAGGGUGCCGGUUAACGGCCGGUGAAGGCGACUUCAAGGAAAGUGCAACAGAAAGAAACCGCCCGAGGCCCGCAAGGGACCCGAGUAAGGAUGGAAAGGCGAGGUAAGAGCUCACCCGCGCCCCGGCGACGGAGGCGCGAUGUAAACCCCACCCGAUGCAAGAUCCGAAUGGGGGCGAUACGGCGGCCCGCCGUGCUCCCGAAGAGAUCGCUUGACCCCGGCGGCAACGCCGGGGCUAGAUAGAUGAUCGUUCCACGACAGAACUCGGCUUACGACCGCGCUUAUCGU